GGUAGAUGUUCUUGGAAGCCUCUGAUAGAUGGCUUGGUUUGGGGAUUGGGUGAGACUUCUGGGAUUAUCCCUAAGUACAAUAGAUUAUACUAAACUGCCCUCUAAAGAGAAGAGGUCCUAUGAACUGCAGGGCUCUUGUCUUGGCAUGUGAAUCUCAGAACAGAGCUGAGUUACUCUGAACUAUGGGGAGAGGAACAUUAGUGGGGCUAGCAGAGAAAAAAGAACCAGGUGGUGAUGCAAGGGAGAGGAGACUUUGGGGAGAAGAUGGACACAUUUAAGGGGAUUUUAAAAAAGCAGUUGGUCUGCUCAUAUUAUACACAUGCACGGAGAUGCGCUCUUAGGCUAGAUAUUACAUUAAGACACAUGUGCCCUCCCAUACAGGUACAGCAUUAUCCAGAUGCAAGUGAGUGAAUCUCUGUGGAGAGAGAGAGAGAGAGAGAGAGAGAGAGAGAGAGAGAGAGAGAGAGAGAACGAACAAGCACGUGCUCAUAAAACACAUGCUCUCCGGCACUGGAGAAGCUGUGCUCUAAGCCAUAUGGACACUAGUCUGUAUUAACCCUGGCUGGGGUCAGAACUGCUUUAUUUGCAGAAGUGAGGCCCCAAAUCCUGUGCUGGCUUACCAGACCGAGCAGGAUGGUGGAAUAUAUAAAGUGACAUUUUGCACUUGUUUGCUUUUGAUGGCCCAAAGGAGACUGUAUUUUUCUGCUUGUGAAUGCGAU
RNAcentral lists this long non-coding RNA (719 nucleotides) under Marmota monax (woodchuck). Lineage: Eukaryota; Metazoa; Chordata; Mammalia; Rodentia; Sciuridae. The record is from RNAcentral.